GUGAUGAUGUGUAAGCCAGGCAUCGGAUUUCGUCAGCUUUUUGGAAACUAGCAUUUGCCUCUGCUGCUUGAUAUACGAAGCCACAAAGGAUGACUGUUGCAGAACAGUGUAGUAUGGCUUGUCAAAUAAAUCAAUAUCAUUACUCAAACUUGAUUUCCUUCCAAGCGUGCCCAUUCUGUGCAGCCUCCCCUCGUGGCAUGAAGUUGGAACCCCAAUUGAGUCAAUUGAGUCAAUAAAAUCAACACAACUCGAUCACCUCCUCUGUUUUAUU
Molecule: long non-coding RNA, 271 nt
Filed under: Setaria viridis
Lineage: Eukaryota; Viridiplantae; Streptophyta; Magnoliopsida; Poales; Poaceae
Description: long non-coding RNA (SVIR_LNC008823)
Source: RNAcentral